UGCAGUCGAACGAGAUCUUCGGAUCUAGUGGCGCACGGGUGCGUAACGCGUGGGAAUCUGCCCUUGGGUUCGGGAUAACCAUUGGAAACGAUGGCUAAUACCGGAUGAUAUCGCGAGAUCAAAGAUUUAUCGCCCGAGGAUGAGCCCGCGUUGGAUUAGCUAGUUGGUGGGGUAAAGGCCUACCAAGGCGACGAUCCAUAGCUGGUCUGAGAGGAUGAUCAGCCACACUGGGACUGAGACACGGCCCAGACUCCUACGGGAGGCAGCAGUGGGGAAUAUUGGACAAUGGGCGAAAGCCUGAUCCAGCAAUGCCGCGUGAGUGAUGAAGGCCUUAGGGUUGUAAAGCUCUUUUACCCGGGAUGAUAAUGACAGUACCGGGAGAAUAAGCUCCGGCUAACUCCGUGCCAGCAGCCGCGGUAAUACGGAGGGAGCUAGCGUUGUUCGGAAUUACUGGGCGUAAAGCGCACGUAGGCGGCUUUGUAAGUUAGAGGUGAAAGCCUGGGGCUCAACCCCAGAAUUGCCUUUGAUACUGCAUGGCUUGAAUCCAGGAGAGGUGAGUGGAAUUCCGAGUGUAGAGGUGAAAUUCGUAGAUAUUCGGAAGAACACCAGUGGCGAAGGCGGCUCACUGG
This 629-nucleotide ribosomal RNA is filed under the name Sphingomonas sp. M72C14. RNAcentral describes it as "bacterial SSU rRNA". It matches the Rfam family "Bacterial small subunit ribosomal RNA", at positions 56 to 732 of the family's 1533-position model. Lineage: Bacteria; Pseudomonadati; Pseudomonadota; Alphaproteobacteria; Sphingomonadales; Sphingomonadaceae. The record is from RNAcentral.